Molecule: ribosomal RNA, 1582 nt
Filed under: Ditylenchus bhatnagari
Lineage: Eukaryota; Metazoa; Nematoda; Chromadorea; Rhabditida; Anguinidae
Description: SSU rRNA
Rfam family: Eukaryotic small subunit ribosomal RNA
Source: RNAcentral
GCUAUACAUGCAAACUAAACCUUUGCCCUCACGGUGAGGGGUGCAUUUUAUUAGAACAAAACCCAGGCGGCUUUCGCCGAAUUUUGUUGACUCAAAUUAACUCAGCUGAUCGCACGGUCUUGCACCGGCGACGUGUCAUUCAAGUAUCUGCCUUAUCAACUUUUGACGGUAGUGUAUUUGACUACCGAGGUUGUAACGGGUAACGGAGGAUUAGGGUUUGACUCCGGAGAAGGGGCCUGAGAAAUGGCCACUACGUCUAAGGAUGGCAGCAGGCGCGCAAAUUACCCACUCUCAGAACGAGGAGGUAGUGACGAGAAAUAACGAGACCGUUCUUUUUAAGGCCGGUCAUCGGAAUGGGUUAAAUUUAAACCCUUUGGCGAGUAUCUAUGAGAGGGCAAGUCUGGUGCCAGCAGCCGCGGUAAUUCCAGCUCUCAAAAUACAUAGAAUUUUUGCUGCGGUUAAAAAGCUCGUAGUUGGAUUUGUGCCGAGGGCGUGGUGCACCUUUGGGUGUUACUGCGUGCCGAGGCUUUGUGCCGGUCUUCUCAUCGUAGUCUCUGCGAUUGCGAUGGGUGGCUGGCGAGUUACUUUGAACAAAUCAAAGUGCUCAAAACAAGCGUUUCGCUUGAAUGAUUUUGCAUAGAAUAAUAGAAGAGGACUUCGGUCUAAUUUUAUUGGUUUUAUAGACCAAAGUAAUGGUUAAUAGGGAUUGACGGGGUCAACCGUAUUGUUGCGUGAGAGGUGAAAUUCUUGGACCGCAGCAAGACGAACAAUAGCGAAAGCAGUUGACCAGAAUAUCUCCAUUAAUCAAGAACGAAAGUCAGAGGUUCGAAGGCGAUCAGAUACCGCCCUAGUUCUGACCGUAAACGAUGCCAACUAGCGAUCUGCCGGCGGCAGUGAUGCCCUGGUAGGGAGCUCCUCGGAAACGAAAGAUCGGUUCCGGGGGAAGUAUGGUUGCAAAGCUGAAACUUAAAGGAAUUGACGGAAGGGCACCACCAGGAGUGGAGCCUGCGGCUUAAUUUGACUCAACACGGGGAAACUCACCCGGUCCGGACACCGUAAGGAUUGACAGAUCGAUAGCUCUUUCAUGAUUUGGUGGAUGGUGGUGCAUGGCCGUUCUUAGUUCGUGGAGCGAUUUGUCUGGUUUAUUCCGAUAACGAACGAGAUUCUGGUCUAUUAAAUAGCCUACAUAUUCUUUUGUGUGUGGAGCUUCUUAAAGAGAUUUUCGGUUUACAACCGCAUGAAAUUGAGCAAUAACAGGUCUGUGAUGCCCUUAGAUGUCCGGGGCUGCACGCGCGCUACACUGGUGUAGUGAGUGUGCUUGUCCUUUCCCGAAAGGGAUUGGUAAACCGGUCAAGUUAUUCCGUGAUUGGGAUCGGAAAUUGCAAUUAUUUUCCGUGAACGAGGAAUUCCAAGUAAAUGCGAGUCAUCAGCUCGCGUUGAUUACGUCCCUGCCCUUUGUACACACCGCCCGUCGCUGCCCGGGACUGAGCCAUUUCGAGAAAACUGGGGAUCCUGUGCGCUCGUUCUUCGGGAACGAUCGCAUGGCGAGAACCAGUUUAAUCGCAGUGGCUUGAACCGGGCA